This 1450-nucleotide ribosomal RNA is filed under the name uncultured anaerobic ammonium-oxidizing bacterium. RNAcentral's name for it is "16S ribosomal RNA". It matches the Rfam family "Bacterial small subunit ribosomal RNA". The record is from RNAcentral.
GAACGAGGAUAUAUCCUUCGGGGUAUAAGCCGAGUGGCGCAAGGGUGAGUAAUGCAUAGAUUACCUGCCUCUAGGAUAAGGACAACUUUGUGAAAACGAAGCUAAUACUUAAUAAUACAAAAGAAAAUAAUUUUCUUUUGUCAAUGGGAGGGUAGCAAUACCUUUUGCCUAGAGAGGGGUUUAUGUCCUAUCAGCUUGUUGGUGGGGUAAUGGCCUACCAAGGCGAAGACGGGUAGCCGGUCUUAGAGGAUGGUCGGCCGCACUGGGACUGAGACACUGCCCAGACUUCUACGGAAGGCUGCAGUCGAGAAUCUUUCGCAAUGCCCGAAAGGGUGACGAAGCGACGCCGCGUGAGUGAGGAAGGCCUUAGGGUUGUAAAGCUCUGUCAGGAGUUAAGAAAUAUAAGUGUGUUAAUACCACAUUUAUUUGACGAAGGCUCCAAAGGAAGCCACGGCUAACUCUGUGCCAGCAGCCGCGGUAAUACAGAGGUGGCAAGCGUUGUUCGGAAUUAUUGGGCGUAAAGAGCACGUAGGUGGGUUUGUAAGUCAGAUGUGAAAGCCUUCUGUUCAACGGAAGAAUUGCAUCUGAAACUGCAAAUCUUGAGUGUAGGAGGGGAGAAUGGAACUUCUGGUGGAGCGGUGAAAUGCGUAGAUAUCAGAAGGAACGCCGGCGGCGAAAGCGAUUCUCUGGCCUAUUACUGACACUCAGUGUGCGAAAGCUAGGGGAGCAAACGGGAUUAGAUACCCCGGUAGUCCUAGCCGUAAACGAUGGGCACUAAGUAGAGGGGAUUACCGAUGUUCUCUCUGCCGUAGCUAACGCAUUAAGUGCCCCGCCUGGGGAGUACGGCCGCAAGGCUAAAACUCAAAAGAAUUGACGGGGGCUCGCACAAGCGGUGGAGCAUGUGGCUUAAUUCGAUGCAACGCGAAAAACCUUACCGGGGCUUGACAUGGUAGAAGUAGGAACCCGAAAGGGUAACGAACGGUAUCCAGUCCGUAGCUAUCACAGGUGUUGCAUGGCUGUCGUCAGCUCGUGUCGUGAGACGUUGGGUUAAGUCCCCUAACGAGCGAAACCCUUGUUUUUAGUUACCAGCGGGUUAUGCCGGGUACUCUAGAGAGACUGCCGUCGUCAAGACGGAGGAAGGUGGGGAUGACGUCAAGUCAUCAUGGCCCUUAUGCCCCGGGCUGCACACGUGCUACAAUGGUCGGUACAAACGGAAGCGAAGCCGAGAGGUGAAGCGAAUCCUAAAAAGCCGAUCUCAGUUCGGAUUGGAGGCUGAAAUUCGCCUCCAUGAAGUUGGAAUCGCUAGUAAUCGCGGAUCAGCAAUGCCGCGGUGAAUAUGUUCCCGAGCCUUGUACACACCGCCCGUCAAGCCACCCAAGCAGGAUGCACCCGAAAACAUUAUAUCUAACCAGGGCAACUUGGAGGAAAAUGUUGAAGGAGUGUUUUGUGA